GGGGAAUCUUCCGCAAUGGGCGAAAGCCUGACGGAGCAACGCCGCGUGAGUGAAGAAGGUCUUCGGAUCGUAAAGCUCUGUUGUCGGGGACGAAUGUUGAGAUCUAGAAUAUAGAUAUCAAAUGACGGUACCUGACGAGGAAGCCACGGCUAACUACGUGCCAGCAGCCGCGGUAAUACGUAGGUGGCGAGCGUUGUCCGGAAUUAUUGGGCGUAAAGGGAGCGCAGGCGGGAAGGUAAGUCUAUCUUAAAAGUGCGGGGCUCAACCCCGUGAGGGGAUAGAAACUAUCAUUCUUGAGUGCAGGAGAGGAAAGCGGAAUUCCUAGUGUAGCGGUGAAAUGCGUAGAUAUUAGGAGGAACACCAGUGGCGAAGGCGGCUUUCUGGACUGUAACUGACGCUGAGGCUCGAAAGCCAGGGGAGCGAAC
This 425-nucleotide ribosomal RNA is filed under the name uncultured bacterium. Its description in RNAcentral is "bacterial SSU rRNA". It matches the Rfam family "Bacterial small subunit ribosomal RNA", at positions 356 to 773 of the family's 1533-position model. The record is from RNAcentral.